Hipposideros armiger (great roundleaf bat) is the source of this 482-nucleotide long non-coding RNA. RefSeq lists it as uncharacterized. The record is from RefSeq and is a predicted model, not a curated record. NCBI's taxonomy places the organism in Eukaryota, Metazoa, Chordata, Mammalia, Chiroptera, Hipposideridae. The transcript has 3 exons.
GGGUUCCCAGCUUCGAGGGCUGACUACGAGAUGACUCUGCCGGCCGGCGUGUCCGUCUGUCCCACACAAGGUCCAGCUAGCUGCACGGGCUGAGGGUACAGCGCGUGUCCUGACAGCCACGCCCAGGCCACAGUCAGUCACGGAGGCCAACGAGACCUGCGGACCGAAGCGCGUCCCAGCAGGCGGUGGUGUCAGCCUGCAGCCCGGGAGUGGUCCCUGCUUUCCAGAAACGGAAGACAUAAAGAAAGGUGUCAGCUGGCCUAGGACCGUGACGCUCAGAGCGUUAUCAGUCAGCAGAAGACGUAACAAGAAACCGUGAAGGGGUUUGCAAAUGAGGCAGCUACAGGUCCGGAUUUCUACGGCUUGAACAUGGUGCCAUAUAUAUCCGAGGCCUGACAAUUAAGUUUGCGAACUCGUCCUAGAAAAACUGCUCCAUCCCUCACUGCUGAAUGUCACCACAGUCACCUUCGAAGUCCUCCGAG